Molecule: long non-coding RNA, 2000 nt
Organism: Cygnus olor (mute swan)
Lineage: Eukaryota; Metazoa; Chordata; Aves; Anseriformes; Anatidae
Exons: 3
Source: RefSeq, a predicted model, not a curated record
GACAUCUUACAUAGUUCAUCUAAAGGAACAACUCUAGCAAUAAAGACAAGGCCCAUCCUUUCAUAUUGCUAAAUCUGCAGAAGACUGAAGAGGAAAAUGUCUGCCCAGAGCCUUCUGAGAACUUAUCUUCUCAACAGACCUGACAGAAGGGUGUCAAAAGCAGCAUUGUAUCAACUACACUGGCAGACACUUCAAUGCCUUAUGGCCAGGGUCUUUCCUCAACACACGUAGCAUUACUCUUCCUGGCUCAAUUUAUUAAAAUGUUUAUUUAUCUUGGAGGUUUUAUAAGGUUUUGAGGUUUUAAACCAUCCUCAUUGAUUAAUAUUUAUUCUAACAAGCAAAUCCAUAUUUGGCUUUCCACCUUGCCUCAUUCCUAUUGUUCACAUUCCAGAUAGACUUUGCAUUCAUGGUAUCAAGUCCGCAUGCAUUUAAGUGUUUUCUUUUCCAUAUGCUGGUAUUACCUUCUGCUUUGCCCAGAACUUGUUAUGCAUGCAUGAUCACAGACUAUUUCUAGCAUUAAUUAAGAUAUGAAAUUAAAGUGAGAAGUAUAUUAUUGGUUGCAUAAUACAAACAAUACAAAUUUGCUUUAAAAACCAAAUUACUGAAGUGUUAGCAAAUCUCUUUAUACUGUCAGAAAUAAUUUUUACAAUCUACAUGCCAUGGUACACAUGGAAUUCACACAAGUGGAUUUGCAGUAUUACUUCCAAUUCAGGAAAACGUACAAAAAGCAUGAGAAGUUCAUUUCAUCUAUAAAUAUAGCCAAGAAAACACAGGUUUGUCUCUCCUGCUCUGUGUUCCACCAGGCAGCCUCUGCCCUCCGUGACUCACUACACAAUGUACUCCUGAACCCACUAGCAAGGCUUCCAUUGUUUGCAUAAGAACAACUUUCCCUCAAAUCUGAUGAGGAAUUUUACUGGAGAAAAAGUCAUAUUUUGUUAGAAAUUAAAUGUUUCACAGGUACAUAAUGUUUUUGAUGAGCUUCUGACAAACAUAAGCAUAUAAUCAACAGCAAUUUGCUACAUUUCCUGCCCCCAAACCCAGAGACUCCCAAGUUUUGCUCUUCUAAAGAAGCUAGCCACGUGGACUGGCUAAAACCUAUUAAUUUCCAAGAUCGAAAGGGCAUUUUAUCAUGCUGAUUGGCAGAGAUCUGAGAGCACUGCAUCCUCUAGAAGCUUAAACUGAAAGAGUACCCUGUCAGUAACGCUGCCAGCCUCAUAGACAAUUUACUUAUCAUCUCUUCCUUAUCUCUAUAAUCAAAAAUAGAAACCUCCACAUUCACUCAGGCUAACAUACUCCCUACCUCACUCUUACAUUAAAGACACCUCUACCAAAUGCCCUCAAAAGGAGUCAAACCUUUCUACGUACUUAAAUUUCUUUAUGAAAACACAUUUACCAAACGGUUUACAAUAUUUAACAUAUGCACAUUUUACUGAUUGUACAUGUCAAUAUAUGGUGUGCAGCCAUCUUUCUGACCCCAUUGCUCUGCUGCUUUUGCUGUGAAACCUCCUUAUGGAAUGCCUCUGUAACAGUAGGUGUUAAUACAAUUUGCGCAAAGUAAAAUAAUAAGUAAUAACAAUGAAAUGUGUGUUCCCUGGGACUCCGUGAUAACUCCAGAUAAAAAUAAUGUCAUAGACUGGGAAUAGACUCAUUAAUAAAAUUGCACUCAGAAGAGUGACUUGUUUACUUACGCACAAUGGAAAACAAUACAUUAACAAACCCUGUAUUAAAAAGAAAUUAUGAUCACAACAGCACAACAAACAGCCAGGGAUAUCAUCAUGUACCUGCCUUGCACAAAACAAACAACCAGACAAAAGGCUCUGAGGCUGAUUUGUCGAGGGCCUGUACUCCCCCAGGUUCCUCUUACUACACAAGCUGUUCAGUGUGCUCCGAACUAACCAGGAAAAGUUGAACUCCUUCAAGGAUCCAAUCCUUUGUUAGUAAGGCUGUUUUUAUUAGGGCAGAGUUUUGGGAAUACCUUCUGUAACCUCUGUACCAUGGCA